AGCCUUGUGUGAAUACCGUAGGGGGUAGAGCACUGGAUGGGCUAGGGGGUCCCACAGACUUACCAAACCUAACCAAACUCCGAAUACCUACGAGUACUGCACAGGAGACACACGGCGGGUGCUAACGUCCGUCGUGGAGAGGGAAACAACCCAGACCAACAGCUAAGGCCCCCAAUUCGUGGCUAAGUGGGAAAGGAUGUGGAAAUCCCAAAACAACCAGGAGGUUGGCUUAGAAGCAGCCAUCCUUUAAAGAAAGCGUAACAGCUCACUGGUCUAAACAAGGGUUUCUGCGCCGAAGAUGUACCGGGGCUCAAGCCACGAGCCGAAGCUUUGGGUUUGUCCGCAAGGGCAAGCGGUAGCGGAGCGUUCUGUAAGCCUGUGAAGGGACAGCCGUGAGGCAUCCUGGAGGUAUCAGAAGUGCGAAUGCUGACAUGAGUAACGACAAACAGAGUGAAAGACUCUGUCGCCGAAAGUCCAAGGGUUCCUGCGUAAAGUUAAUCUUCGCAGGGUUAGCCGGCCCCUAAGGCGAGGCCGAAAGGCGUAGUCGAUGGGAACCACGUUAAUAUUCGUGG
RNAcentral lists this ribosomal RNA (572 nucleotides) under Candidatus Woesebacteria bacterium. RNAcentral's name for it is "partial 23S ribosomal RNA". It matches the Rfam family "Bacterial large subunit ribosomal RNA", at positions 878 to 1442 of the family's 2925-position model. The record is from RNAcentral. Lineage: Bacteria; Candidatus Woeseibacteriota.